UGGGGAAUUUUGGACAAUGGGGGCAACCCUGAUCCAGCCAUGCCGCGUGUGUGAAGAAGGCCUUCGGGUUGUAAAGCACUUUCGGCCGGAACGAAAUCGCGUGGGUGAAUAUCCCGCGUGGAUGACGGUACCGGAAGAAGAAGCACCGGCUAACUACGUGCCAGCAGCCGCGGUAAUACGUAGGGUGCGAGCGUUAAUCGGAAUUACUGGGCGUAAAGUGUGCGCAGGCGGCCGAGCAAGUCGAGUGUGAAAGCCCCGAGCUUAACUUGGGAACUGCGCUCGAAACUACUUGGCUAGAGUGUGGCAGAGGGAGGUGGAAUUCCACGUGUAGCGGUGAAAUGCGUAGAGAUGUGGAGGAACACCGAUGGCGAAGGCAGCCUCCUGGGCCAACACUGACGCUCAUGCACGAAAAGCGUGGGGAGCAAAACAGGAUUAGAUACCCUGGUAGUCCACGCCCUAAACGAUGAUGACUAGUUGUUGGAGG
Molecule: ribosomal RNA, 484 nt
Filed under: uncultured Pseudomonadota bacterium
Lineage: Bacteria; Pseudomonadati; Pseudomonadota
Description: bacterial SSU rRNA
Rfam family: Bacterial small subunit ribosomal RNA
Source: RNAcentral